This 1435-nucleotide ribosomal RNA is filed under the name uncultured bacterium. Its description in RNAcentral is "partial 16S ribosomal RNA". It matches the Rfam family "Bacterial small subunit ribosomal RNA". The record is from RNAcentral.
AGAGUUUGAUCCUGGCUCAGGAUGAACGCUGGCGGCAUGCCUAAGACAUGCAAGUCGAACGAGACGGCCCAAUGAAGACUGCGUGCUUGCACAAAGUUGGAUUUGGAUUCCCGUCUAGUGGCGCAAGGGUGAGUAACACGUGGGUAAUCUACCUUUGAGUCUGGAAUAACAGUUAGAAAUGAUUGCUAAUGCCGGAUUAUAUAUAGAGUGAUACGUCAUUUUAUAUUAAAAAGAGCCUUUAAAGCUUCGCUUGAAGAUGAGCCUGCGCCGUAUUAGUUAGUUGGUGGGGUAAUGGCCUACCAAGACAACGAUGCGUAGCCGACCUGAGAGGGUGAUCGGCCACACUGGGACUGAGACACGGCCCAGACUCCUACGGGAGACAGCAGUUAGGAAUAUUCGUCAAUGGGGGAAACCCUGAACGAGCAAUGCCGCGUGAAGGAUGACGGUCCUAUGGAUUGUAAACUUCUGUUGUUAGGGAAGAACGACUUAAGUAGGAAAUGACUUAAGAGUGACGGUACCUUUCAAGAAAGCUCCGGCUAACUACGUGCCAGCAGCCGCGGUAAUACGUAGGGAGCGAGCGUUAUCCGGAUUCAUUGGGUGUAAAGGGUACGUAGGCGGCUUAAUAGGUCUAUGGUUUAAGCCCGAAGCUUAACUUCGGUUCGCCAUAGAAACCGUUUUGCUUGAGUAUGGUAGAGGCAAGUGGAAUUUCUAGUGUAGCGGUUAAAUGCGUAGAUAUUAGAAGGAACACCAGUGGCGAAGGCGACUUUCUGGACCGUAACUGACGUUGAGGUACGAAAGUGUGGGGAGCAAACAGGAUUAGAUACCCUGGUAGUCCACACUGUAAACGAUGGAUACUAGGUGUAGGGGUUAUUAAGACUUCUGUGCCGUCGCAAACGCAGUAAGUAUCCCACCUGGGGAGUACGACCGCAAGGUUGAAACUCAAAGGAAUUGACGGGGGCCCGCACAAGCAGUGGAGUAUGUGGUUUAAUUCAAAGCAACGCGAAGAACCUUACCAGGGCUUGACAUAUAUAGGAAUAACUAAGAGAUUAGUUAGCUCUUCGGAGACUAUAUACAGGUGGUGCAUGGUUGUCGUCAGCUCGUGUCGUGAGAUGUUGGGUUAAGUCCCGCAACGAGCGCAACCCCUGUUUCUAGUUGCCAGCAUUAAGUUGGGCACUCUAGUGAGACUGCCGGUGACAAACCGGAGGAAGGUGGGGACGACGUCAGAUCAUCAUGCCCCUUAUGACCUGGGCUACACACGUGCUACAAUGGACGGUACAACGAGUCGCAAGCUCGCGAGAGUAAGCUAAUCUCUUAAAGCCGUUCUCAGUUCGGACUGUAGGCUGCAACUCGCCUACACGAAGUCGGAAUCGCUAGUAAUCGCGGAUCAGCAUGCCGCGGUGAGUACGUUCCCGGGCCUUGUACUCACCGCCCGUCA